CUGACCUUACUUGAGCAAGAUAUGUUCUAUAGGCUCUUCCCACUGUAUUCAUAAAUUCUAAGAAAAUAGAAAAUCAAAUCUGGUUAAUGAAUCAUGAUCAUCAGACU
Molecule: small nucleolar RNA, 107 nt
Filed under: Nicotiana attenuata
Lineage: Eukaryota; Viridiplantae; Streptophyta; Magnoliopsida; Solanales; Solanaceae
Description: snoRNA Plant_U3
Source: RNAcentral